CUCAAUUGGCAAGGAAGCACUUCAACUUUGGUAGUGCACAUCUAGACACUCCAACUCGUCUCUACUGCGUCUCAUGGACACCCAAUAGUGCUGACGUGACACAUAAAUUUGGAGGUGUCUAGAUGAUGACGGUGUAAGUUGGAGUGUUCAGCCUACACAUGGGAGAAGAGUUGAGAUGUCUAAAUUUGCAUAUUCAAAGUUGGAGCGCUUACUUAUCAGCUGAGGUCAAACUUGAAUGUCUGGCUGUGUAUUCUGCCAUUUUAAUUUAUGGGACAUUUGGAUUUGGUAUUAGUGUAUCGUUAUACUUUCCGUGACUACUCCAUUUUGUUUUGUAGGUGACAUUAUCAGGUUUACUGAAUUUUAUUGAUGGAUUAUGGUCGAGUUGUGGAGACGAAAGAAUCAUAAUUUUCACAACAAAUCACAUAGAGAAACUCGACCCUGCAUUGUUGCGACCUGGUAGAAUGGACAUGCACAUUCACAUGGCAUAUUGCACACCUUGUGGCUUCAAACUUCUUGCUACCAAUUACUUAGGGAUUAAAGAUCAUAAAUUGUUCAAAGAAAUUGAGGAAUUGAUUGACAUAGCCAAUGUGACACCAGCAGAAGUGGCAGAGCAAUUGUUGAAGGAAGAUGAAGUUGAGAAUUCCCUUAAAGGGUUGAUUAAUUUUCUUUACAAAAAGAUAAAAGAGAAUGAAGAGGUUAAGGCUAAGAAAGUGGAAAUAACACAAGUGGAAUCUGAUGAUGAGAAGAAGGAAAAUGUUGAAAAUGAGAUUAAAGAAAAAGAGGAAGAAAUGGACUUACCAAAUGGGGAAAGUAGUUAAAUCCACAUAAAAAAAAGUUUGUCUAAUCCAAUUUCACGCGGUGUAGCGCCUCAUUUGAUCUAUAUAAAAUAAAUAAAAAAAAAUAAUAAUCUGGUAAAAUUGUACAAUAUUAUACGAGAACUAUACUGUGAGAAUCCCUAUCACUUAAUCAUAUGAUUAGAAGAUAGUUUAUAUAAUUUUGUACGUAUUAAUUAAUCUGAAUUAAACGACUAAGUUGUAUGUCCCCUUGAGAAUAUUACUUUAUAUUCGCACUAUUUUAUAUAAAUAAAAUACGUACUAGUGUUAUUAUAUACGUUUACUCAAUUAUAAUAAAUAUUUUUACUUAAAUGUCCUCUAUCAGAAAGUUUCAAAAUUUAACUAUUAAUACUCAAAAAUCAGACUUGUAAACCCAAAUAGUUUUCUCCACCGGCGGCGAAUUCGUCAUCAAACCGGCAGCACCAGCAAAUUGAUUAUUGUCCGAUUUGGCUCCGUUCAGCUAAUUGAUUUUCCGGCCGACUAAUUUUGAGUGAGGUAAUUUUCCCCUGAUUUAUAUGAUCUGUAAAUUGAGUUACAGUGUUUUGACUCUGCAUAAUGAUAGGCCUAACUUCAAUCUCUUGUUUCGUUGUUCAACUAUUUAUUGUUCUAUUUACCUACCUAACCUAUCACCUUUUUGUGAGUUUCGUGCUUCAACUAUCAGUCACUUUGUACUAAAAUACUCAUGGAUGUUAAGUUAGCCUUCACGGGGAACAAGUUAAUAUUUGGUUAUCUCAAUAUCAAUGUGUGUUUUGAUACAAUUGUAGCCAUGGUGAAUUCUCCUUAAAAUUGUUAAUGUGGCCAUUCCAAGGUAGAAUAUAAUAUAAUAUUAAAAUGCUGACCAACAAUACCCCACUCAUUUUCAUAUUAUAAAAACUCAGACCCCACUAAUUAGUGGCGGGGCCACCUUUGAGUCAGGGGUUCAUUCGAACCCCCUUUGGCGCAAAAUUAUAUUAUUUAUAUAUGGUUAAAAUAAUUUUUUAGGUAUAUAUAGUAGAUGUCGAACUACCUUCGACUACUUUAAUUUGUGUCUUUAUUUUUUCAGAUUUUGAACCCCCUUAUUAAAAUUCUGACUCCGUCACUACCUCACUUUGUGAAAUUACAUUGAAUAUGUCGUUAUUUAUAAAGACGUAACCAAACUUUAGACGGGUCAAAAUAUGACUGGUGAUUAAUUUUCUUCAUUCAAACGCGUUAAAUACUAUAUAGUAUUUAAUUACCUUAAUUAACACCCCGAUCUACACUUCAGAAAGACCCAAUAUUCAACUUAGAGUCAAGUCGGAGAAAAAUAAAUACUAUAUAGUAUUUAAUUGCUUAUUUUCCAAUAACCUAUGUUCAUGUUGACUUUGCAUUUUUCCCUAUAUUACCUUUUAUGAAUUGGAAAAAUAGGAACAUGUCAUGAUGAUAGUAGUAAAGUAAAAAAAUUUCGUUAAGAGUGUUCUAAAUUUACUAGAGCACAUAAAAAUAAUACUCCUAUUUAACCAAUAUAUAAAAUAUUGGCGAAAGACGUAAACUAUAAGGAAAUUCUUGUGGGCAUACAUAGGAAAGUUUCAAAGUCUACAUAGUCAAUACCAACUACCACUAUUGUUAGUCUUGGUGCAAUUUUUUCCAAUUUUCUUUGGCCAAUUUCUCACUCUAUUUUUUAUUUCUUUUCUUCACAUGAUUUUGCUAUAAAUUUACCAUUUUCCUCAAUUGCAAUUGCAUCAAUAUAUUGGUUCCUAUUUUUUUUUCCACACAUUUGGUGCAUAACACUAACAUUCACUAGCCAAAAGAACCCUUAAAAAUAUGUCAUCUUCAUCAGCAGAAUCGAAAAUGGCCUUGGCCAAGACUUUUCUAUCGACAGUAGGCUCUGUUGCUGCGCCAGCCAUGUUGGUUCGUUCGAUAUUCCAUGACUACAUUCCCCGGGAACUCCAUGAAUAUCUCUUCUUUGGACUUAGAAACAUUUUCACCAAGUUCUCAAAUCAGCUAACGAUGGUGAUUGACGAAUUUGAUGGUCUUGUCAAUAAUGAAAUUUAUGAAGCUGCUCAGACCUAUUUGGGCAGCAAGUUGUCACCUAACAUCCAUCGACUUAAAAUCAGUAAGCCUGAGAAGGAGAAAAAUUUCAACAUUGCCAUGGAACGUAAUGAGGAGGUAAUGUCUUGCACAUAUAAAAUUGCAUGUCAUGUUACUUGUCAUCUUAAAAGGUUUGGUCUAAACUUGAAGCCAUUUGUUACUUGGACUCUUUAAAAAAUAUUGAUGUGUGUGUCAGAUCCUUCAAAAGUUUUUUUUUUUUUGAGGAUCCAACACAAAAGUGACAACAUUUUUUAGGGUCGGUUCCACCUAGACUAGAAGUAGUCUGAUGUAGAGACUCUCCACAUUAGACAUAUGUGAUAUGGAACAUACUGAGGAGGUAAAGUCUUGCACAUAUAUAUAAUGAUAAUUGCAUGUCAUAUUAUUUGUUAUCAUAAAGAGUUUGGUCUAAACUGGAAGCUAUGUUGCCUAAACUCUUCAAAAAUAUUGACGGGUAUGCAUCAGAUUCUUGAAAAGUUAUGCAGAGGAUCCAACACGGGUACAACAACAUUUUUGAAUGUCCGUGUCUGUCAGACAUAUGACUCUUUUUCCUAAUAAUCCACCAUUGGAAUAGUGAAAUUAGUCGCCUUUCUUUAAAAUUCAUACGUCUUGAUUUGAAGAACGAUUGUAUUCACGAGUUCAAGUAAGGUUCCACGUUUAAUUUACCUUUAUGAUAAUUUAACGUAAUAGAUCGUGUGAAGACGAUGUUUUUUUUUAAAAUCUCAAGGUUUUAUUCCAACAGGUGACAGAUGUUUAUAAUGGACAGACAUUCAAGUGGAUUUGGCUCUGUAGACAAACACAGUCUACAAACUUCUAUAAUUCCAGGGACAUGAAUUCCACUCUAAAAUCUGAAAUCAGGUCCUUUGAGCUGACAUUUCACAAGAAAAACAAGGACCUUGUCCUUAAUUCGUAUUUGCCUCACAUCAUGAAAGAAGCAAAAUUGCAAAAACACGUAAACAAGACGAUCAAGAUUCACACUGUGGAUUGCGAGAGAAUGUACAAUUUACACGAAAUGUGGAAGCCAGUGAAUCUUAAUCAUCCAGCCACUUUUGAGACAAUCGCGAUGGAAUCAGAUCAAAAAGACAUGAUCUUGAAAGAUUUGGAGAGAUUCGUGAAGAGGAAAGAUUAUUAUAGGAAAGUUGGCAAGGCAUGGAAAAGAGGGUAUUUGUUGUUUGGUCCUCCAGGGACCGGAAAAUCUAGUUUGAUUGCUGCAAUGGCGAAUUAUUUGAACUUUGAUAUAUAUGAUUUGGAGUUGACUUCGCUGAGGGGGAACAUGGAGUUACGGAGGUUGUUGGUUGCCACAGCCAAUAAGUCCAUUUUGGUGGUGGAGGACAUUGAUUGUACCAUUGAAUUGCAAGAUAACUUGGCUAACCGAGCUACUGUUCAUUCAAUUAAUGGUUUUGGUAUGAAAGAAACCAAGGUAAAUUAGUCUUCUAUUUUCCAUUUCCUUACUAUUCCUACAAGUUGUAGACACAAUAAAAAGUUAGGGCUAUGUAUUUUAGUUAAAUAGUGUAAUACAUAAGCAUACACUCAAAUUUCACCUCAAUUGGCAAGGAAGCACUUCAACUUUGGUAGUGCACAUCUAGACACUCCAACUCGUCUCUACUGCGUCUCAUGGACACCCAAUGCUGAUGUGACACAUAAAUUUGGAGGUGUCUAGAUGAUGACGGUGUAAGUUGGAGUGUUCAGCCUACACAUGGGAGAAGAGUUGAGGUGUCUAGAUUUGCACAUUCAAAGUUGGAGUGUUCAGCCUACACAUGGGAGAAGAGUUGAGGUGUCUAGAUUUGCAUAUUCAAAGUUGGAGUGUUCAACCUACACAUCGGAGAAGAGGUGAGGUGUCUAGAUUUGCAUAUUCAAAGUUGGAGCGUUUACUUAUCAGCUGAGGUCAAACUUAAAUGUCUGGUUGUGUAUUCUGUCAUUUUAAUUUAUGGGGUAGUAUGACAUUUGGAUUUGGUAUUAGUGUAUCGUUAUACUUUCCGUGACUACGCCAUUUUGUUUUGUAGGUGACAUUAUCAGGUUUACUGAAUUUUAUUGAUGGAUUAUGGUCGAGUUGUGGAGACGAAAGAAUCAUAAUUUUCACGACAAAUCACAUAGAGAAACUCGACCCUGCAUUGUUGCGACCUGGUAGAAUGGACAUGCACAUUCACAUGGCAUAUUGCACACCUUGUGGCUUCAAACUUCUUGCUGCCAAUUACUUAGGGAUUAAAGAUCAUAAAUUGUUCAAAGAAAUUGAGGAAUUGAUUGACAUAGCCAAUGUGACCCCAGCAGAAGUGGCAGAGCAAUUGUUGAAGGAAGAUGAAGUUGAGAAUUCCCUUCAAGGGUUGAUUAAUUUUCUUUACAAAAAGAUAAAAGAGAAUGAAGAGGUUAAGGCUAAGAAAGUGGAAUUAACACAAGUGGAAUCUGUUGAUGAGGAGGAGGAAAAUGUUGAAAAUGAGAUUAAAGAAAAAGAGGAAGAAAAGGACUUACCAAAUGGGGAAAGUACUUAAAUCCACAUAAAAAACAGUUUGUCUGAUCCAAUUUCACGCGGUGUAGCGCCUCAUUUGAUCUAUAUAAAUAAUAAAAAAAUAUAUCUGGUAAAUUGUACAAUAUUAUACGAGAACUAUGCUGUGAGAAUCCCUAUCACUUAAUCAUAUGAUUAGAAGAUAGUUUAUAUAAUUUUGUACGUAUUAAUUAAUCUGAAUUAAACGACUAAGUUGUAUGUCCCCUUGAGAAUAUUACUUUAUAUUCGCACUAUUUUAUAUAAAUAAAAUACGUACUAGUGUUAUUAUAUACGUUUACUCAAUUAUAAUAAAUAUUUUUACUUAAA
This 5682-nucleotide long non-coding RNA is filed under the name Solanum tuberosum (potato). RNAcentral describes it as "long non-coding RNA (STUB_LNC003367)". The record is from RNAcentral. Lineage: Eukaryota; Viridiplantae; Streptophyta; Magnoliopsida; Solanales; Solanaceae.